ACUGAUCUAUCUCUGUACAGUAACUCACACGGACAUAACAGUUAUCAUGCAAUUCUUUAUACAAUUCUCGUGCAUUUCCUUUUUUUCCAGGCUGUCUUGGGGGUGAUAAGUCUCUCCCAUGAACAGUGUAUACAAACAACCUCUUGGAGCCUUUGUGUAGUCCAUGACAUGCACAGCGAGGCAGGGAAUGAACAACGAAAUGUCAAAUGUAAGUAAAUAAUGAGGUGCAGGGAAAAGGGGUGAGGAGGGAGAACCAUGGAGGAGAACACACACACACACACACACACACACACACACGUGGAGGACACCGCCGCGUAUAUACACAAACAGCGUGUAUACAAAGCAAGUCUUGGAAUGCGUGUCCUUCGCCUUGCUGUCACGCACCACUAUCAUCAACGCGAGCUGGGCUGGCUAUACUACACAUUGCCGGGGAAAGACAGGGAAGCAACACACACACACACACACACACACACACACACACACACACAAGGCUACACGUUACUAUUUUUGUCUGUCUGUAUGUCUGCUUGUAUCUCUUAUCUUUAUGUCGCUCUUCUAUCUUCUGUCUGUCUGUCUACCUGUCUUUUUUUUCUCUCUGAGACACACACACACACACACACACACGGCUACACGUCACUGGUAAUUCCAUGAGGAGGAGCAGAAAAGGGGGGAGAGGGAGGAGGGGACGAAGAGAGGAGAGGGAGGAGGAGGGAGAAGAGGAAGGAGGGGAGGAAGAGGGAGAACGCUGAGGGUGGUGGGAGGAGGAGGAGGAGGAGGAGUCAGAGUGCCUAAUAGUGAGUCACGAGAGAGAGAGAGAGAGAGAGAGAGAGAGAGAGAGAGAGAGAGAGAGAGAGAGAGUAAAUAAAGAACUCCACUUAUCACCCGUCACCUGACACACUGAUAACCACCACGUCACUUCUCAGGGAUUAAAAGAAAGAAAAAUAAACCCUGGCUACCACCCACCGUCCCACUUAAACCCCCACCUAGCCUAACCUAACCUAGCCUCUCCCCCUUUGUAAAUACCCUAUCUAACGCUACAAACAAAAACUAGUCUAGCCUAUAAUUUUGUUGUCCAUUGUUUUCAGCUAUAAUAACAGAUACAGCUUCUCCAUUUCCCACUAGCCUUGUCAAAUCAAAACCACUAACCACUCACAUCUACCUAUGAAUAAUGAACAGAAAAGGAGGUUAUUAUAUUAGCUCAGGAAGGUGACGAAGAAUGAAAUAGACCAGGAUUAUGUGGAAGAAUAUUAACCUAGGCAAGCAUGUGAAAGAAUUAGACAAUGCUAUUAAGGAGAGGGGAAGUUCCAUACCUAUAGCCUAGCAUAACCUAAAUGAACCCUUUCUCCCUCCUCUUGUCAAUAUGUAGACUAGUAACACCCACAGUGAAGCAAAAUCAAGUCUAGCCUAAUAUUUUGUAGUAGUCCAUUGUUUUCGUGCAUGAUAUCACAUGGAACCAUAUUCUUAAACAUUUCAGAGUCCAAGUACACACAUUCGACAAGACUUUCAUAGGUGUUCUGAGCAUAUCUAUGUGUAGUUUUAUGAACCACGUGGUAGUCUGACCCUUCUUCUGUACCAUGAACCUAAAAGAACACUCAUUUGGACCCAAGUGAUCUUUUUUGGCCUUUGGAAAUAGUUGAUGUGUGAAGCGGAAGCGUCUCAGAAUACCGACGAUAGACCUUCCCCUCUCCCUAAUAGCAUUGUCUAAUUCUUGCACAUACUUGUCUAGGUUAAUAUUCUUCCUCAUAAUCCUGGUCUGUUUCACCCUUCCUCAAUUUCCUGAGCUAAUAACUCAUCCCCAGCGUACUCCUUUUCUGUUCGUUAUUCAGUGCCUAAUAAAUCGCCCUUCACCAGACUAUCUAAACCAACCAAAUCAUCUGCUCUACAAGCCUUGCCUAUUACCCUCUCUUCCAUCACUCCUAGCCUAGCACCACCCGUCAAAUUAUGCCUACCAUUUCCUUGGCUAGCCGGUACAUAACACCUUUCCCUUGCAACUUCCCUAUCCUGACAAAGCCAAAAUCGUUCACCUUCUAUAGCCAAUCAGCCAUAUUUCUGCCAGUCAUUUUUAGGUUAACAAGUACAUAACAUCAUUUCCCAACAACAUUUAUACCCUAGCAAAGCCUAAAUCGUUCACCUUAUGUAGCCAAUCAGCCAUAUUUCUGCCAGUCACUUUUAGGUUAACAAGUACAUAACAUCAUUUCCCAACAACAUUUAUACCCUAGCAAAGCCUAAAUCGUUCACCUUAUAUAGCCAAUCAACCAUAUUUCUGCCAGUCACUUUUAGGUUAACAAAUGCCAGUCACUUUUAGGUUAACAAGUACAUAACAUCAUUUCCCAACAACAUUUAUACCCUAGCAAAGCCUAAAUCGUUCACCUUAUAUAGCCAAUCAGCCAUAUUUCUGCCAGUCACUUUUAGGUUAACAAGUACAUAACACCAUUCCCAAACAACAUUUACAACCUAGCAAAGCCUAAAUCGUCCACCUCAAGUCAGUCAGUCAGCCAGUCAGUUCAGCGCCCACUCAGCCACCCACCCGCCCCAACCUUCUUCGCCUUGCCUCACCCCGCCGCCCUCCUUCACCAGCAGGCUCCCCCGUCACCCAACUCGUCCUAUCACAUUCCAACACUUUCAAGGCCGCCCUGACAUACACUGCAAAAUAUUUAUUCACGAGAGAUAAAACAUAGCAUUCAUCCCGAGGCCAGCCAAGCACACACACACACACACACACACACACACACACACACACACACACACACACACAGGACGGUGAGUGUC
This is a long non-coding RNA of Eriocheir sinensis (Chinese mitten crab), 2769 nucleotides long. RefSeq lists it as uncharacterized. The record is from RefSeq and is a predicted model, not a curated record. NCBI's taxonomy places the organism in Eukaryota, Metazoa, Arthropoda, Malacostraca, Decapoda, Varunidae. The transcript is spliced from 3 exons.